Myxocyprinus asiaticus (Chinese sucker) is the source of this 4057-nucleotide RNA transcript. It is a transcript of the gene named syntaxin-12-like, with no coding region annotated. Lineage: Eukaryota; Metazoa; Chordata; Actinopteri; Cypriniformes; Catostomidae. The record is from RefSeq and is a predicted model, not a curated record. The transcript has 3 exons.
UUCAUGGUCACUGCUGUCUCCUGCAUUUCUCCUUUCACUCUCUUCGUAUCGGAUCUCACUCCAGACGUGGAAGACAGCAUGUUGUACGAGUUCUUUCAUUAUCAUUUCUCAUCCUGCUGCAGUGGGACUAUCAUUCUGGACAGCAGUGGAUACUCAAACGGUGACCUGACAACUGGCUUCCUGUGUUCAGCUCUUCAAUUGCAUACAUUUCCCUCUGUAAAUGCUGACUCUGCUGGUUGUAGGUGCUGCGGGUUUGUGAGUUUUGAGAGUGAGAGAGAUCAGAGACGAGCUUUGGCAGACCGACAGGGUGCUUCUGGACUUGGGAAGAAACCUUUACUCCUCAGUCUGGCAACAAUCAAACUACCCAGACUGUGAGAUAAAUGUGCCAGAGGCCAAUGAGAGAUUUAUGGACCAGAGUGAAGAACUGUACAGUGCUCUGAUUGGAUGCGUCUUCCAGCCUCCAGAGUCAUGGCACGGGGUCACCUGUAGUGUUACGUGUAACCUGCCAGAGCCGAUUUAUCAGUAUGAGAAGAUGAAUUGCAAAGCGCCAGUUAUUAAAAAAGUUCAUUGUUAAGAUUCAUUAAAUAUAGAAAAAUUAUUUGACUUUUUUCUUCUUUAAAGAAUGCAGCUUAAGCAGUGAUGUAUAUCAGUUAUUUGUCUUGUUUCUAGAAGUGGAUAAAUUCAGUGAUUCUGUUUUCCAAUAAUUCUCUUUGUCAGUAUUUUGCUUGUGUUCUUUUUAUGGGAUACUUACAGUAAACAAUCAGUAAAUUUAAGUUAAAAAAAGUUUCAGUUUAAAUAAAUAUGACUUUUUUCUCAAUUUUCUAUCUAUCUGUCUGUCUGUUCAUCCGUCCGUCCGUCCGUCCGUCUGUCCAUCAGUCUAUAAUCUAUCUAUCUUUCUGUCUGUCUGUCUGUCCGUCUGUCCUUCCGUCAAUCCAUCAAUCCAUCCAUCCAUCCAUCUAUCAUCUAUCUGUCUGUCUGUCUGUCUAUCUAGCUAGCUAUCUAUCCGUCCGUCCGUCCGUCCGUCCGUCUGUCCAUCAGUCUAUCAUCUAUUUAUCUUUCUGUCUGCCUGUCUGUCCGUCCGUCCUUCCGUCAAUCCAUCCAUCCAUCCAUCCAUCUAUCUAUCUAUCUAUCUAUCUAUCUAUCUGUCUGUCCAUCCAUCCAUCCAUCCAUCCAUCCAUCUAUCUUCUAUCUGUCUGUCUGUCUGUCUGUCUGUCUGUCUGUCUAUCUAUCUAUCUGUCUGUCUGUCUGUCUGUCUGUCCGUCCGUCCGUCCGUCCGUCUGUCCGUCCGUCUGUCCAUCAGUCUAUCAUCUAUCUAUCUUUCUGUCUGUCUGUCCGUCCGUCCUUCCGUCAAUCCAUCCAUCCAUCUAUCUAUCUGUCUGUCUGUCUGUCUGUCUGUCUGUCUGUCCGUCCGUCUGUCCAUCAGUCUAUCGUCUAUCUAUCUUUCUGUCUGUCUGUCUGUCCAUCCGUCCGUCCUUCUGUCAAUACAUCCAUCCAUCCAUCCAUCUAUCUAUCUAUCUAUCUAUCUAUCUAUCUAUAUAUCUGUCUGUCUGUCUGUCCGUCCGUCCGUCCGUCCGUCCGUCCGUCCGUCCGUCCGUCCGUCCGUCCGUCCGUCCGUCCGUCCGUCUGUCUGUCUGUCCGUCUGUCCAUCAGUAUAUCAUCUAUCUAUCUUUCUGUCUGUCUGUCUGUCCGUCCGUCCUUCCGUCAAUCCAUCCAUCCAUCUAUCUGUCUAUCUAUCUGUCUGUCUGUCUGUCUGUCUGUCCGUCCGUCUGUCCAUCAGUCUAUCAUCUAUCUAUCUUUCUGUCUGUCUGUCUGUCCGUCCGUCCGUCCUUCUGUCAAUCCAUCCAUCCAUCCAUCCAUCUAUCUAUCUAUCUAUCUAUCUAUCUAUCUGUCUGUCUGUCCGUCCGUCCGUCCGUCCGUCCGUCCAUCUGUCUGUCCGUCUGUCCAUCAGUCUAUCAUCUAUCUAUCUUUCUGUCUGUCUGUCUGUCCAUCCGUCCUUCCGUCAAUCCAUCCAUCCAUCCAUCCAUCCAUCCAUCCAUCCAUCUAUCUAUCUGUCUGUCUGUCUGUCUGUCUGUCUGUCCAUCCAUCUAUCAUCUAUCUGUCUGUCUGUCUGUCUAUCUAUCUAUCUGUCUGUCUUUCUGUCUUUCUACCUAUCUAUCUAUCUAUCUAUCUAUCUAUCUGUCUGUUUGUCUGUCUGUCUGUCUGUCUACAAAACAGAACCUGAAACAUGUUGUUUCCCCCUUUUCAACAAUAGUCCUGAAAGGAUGUGCUUAGCCAACAGAACAUUUUGUUUGUUGUUCUUAGAGGUUGAACUUCUGCAAAUAUUAUAUGAGCUGUGGUGUUUUCAAUUUAUUUGACAUCAGGUUUGCCAUUUUUGCAACCCUUUUACUAAAAUUUGGGACAAGUCUGAAUACAAUUGACAACCCCAAUUCUGAAAAAAUUCAAAACAAAUAGGAGUGAUUUGUAAAUGACAUUCACCCUGUGCUGUAUUGAAAGCACAACAACACAUUAUUUGAUGUUUUACUUUGAUAAUUUCUUCUGUUUUUUUUUGUUUUUUUGUUGUUGUUGUUUUUUAAAUAUACACUAUUUUCAAAUCAGAUGAUUGCGACACGCUUCAAAAAAGUUUGUACAGUCGAGUGUUUACCACUGUGUAACAUCACCAUUUCUUCUAACACUUAUUAAGUGUUUAGGCACUGAAGACACAAGUUUGUUAAAUUUAGCAAGCAGAAUUUUCCCUCAUUCAUCCAUUAUGCAGGUGUUCAGCUGCACAAUUGUGGUCUUUGUUGCCGUAUUGUGCGCUUCAUAAUGCCCACACAUUCUCAAUUGGAGACAGGUCAGGACUGCAAGCAGGUCAGUCUAGCACCCGGUCUCUCUGCUUACACAGUCAUGCACUUGUAAUCCGGGCAGUAUGUGGUUUGACGUUGAUCUACUGGAAAAUGCAGGUAUUUUAAAUGUAACUACAAUGCAACAACAUGUAUGUACAUUAUAAGUACAUUGUAUCAAAUGGUUAAGUACAUAGUAGUUAAGGCCACCUAAUAUAAAGCGGGUCUGAAAGAGUCAACCUAGAACCAACAUUCCUGGAGAAGAUGGCAUCUUCUCCAGGAAUGUUGGCAUAUGUUGCUCCAAAAUGUGUUCAAAUCUUUCUGCAUUAAUAGUGCUCUCAAAGAUGUACAGGUUACUCGUGUCAUGUGCACAGACACACCCUCAUACCAUGACAGGCACUGGCUUUUGCACCUGACACUGAUAAGAGCUUGGAUGGUAAUUUUCCAAGCUCUUUGGCCCGGAGAACACGAAGGCUGUGUUUUCCAAAGACUGUUUAAAAUGUGAACUUGUCUGACCACAAAACACAAUUCCACUGUUCUUCUUUCCAUCUCGGAUGAGAAUGAGCCCAGAGAAGUCAGCAGCGCUUCUGGACAGUGUUGAUGUAUGGCUUCUGCUUUUCAUAGUAAAGCCUUAACUUGCAUCUGUGGAUGCAGCAGCGAACGGUAUUUAUUGAUAAAAGUUUACCGAAGUUUUCCCAAGCCCAUGUCAUGAUAUCCAUUACUGACAAAUGACGGUUUUUAAGACAGUGACGUCUGAGGGAUCGUCGAUAACACACGUUCAGAAGAGGUUUUUUUUUUUUUUUUUUUUUUCAAGCAGGACAACAUCAAACCACAUACUGCCUGGAUUACAAGACCAGAUGUUUGUUUGUAGUCAUUGAUAAACUCUCAUCUAAUGGAUUCAACAAAAUAUUUAUUUAUUUAUUUUUUUUUUUUUGCAGUAACUUUGGUAACAGAAUGAACUUGUAAUAAUUUCAGUAUACACCAGUCACUCAUUUAACAUUUCAUAUGUGUUCAGAUCAUUUACUCAGUUUUUAUUUUCUUAUAUCACAUUUUAUUGUAAGUGUUUUUCCCCUGUACGCUGGUGAACAGUCACGUGCUCAUUAGGGCUCUGCCCCUUACCGGAAGCACAAAGUGCAUCAGACCGGAAGUCCCGUGCAAGGAGCGGCCCUGAGUUCAAGCACUGACACGCUUCCUGCUCAAGGCUACCCCUCCCAUUAUCUUUAGACACUGUCCAGAGC